GUGCAAUGAAUGUAUUGGAUAAGUUUCGGCUGAUUCUGAUUGAUGUAAACUUUGUAACUUGCUGAGCAC
Molecule: small nucleolar RNA, 69 nt
Filed under: Caenorhabditis remanei
Lineage: Eukaryota; Metazoa; Nematoda; Chromadorea; Rhabditida; Rhabditidae
Description: Caenorhabditis snoRNA ceN108
Rfam family: Caenorhabditis snoRNA ceN108
Source: Rfam by way of RNAcentral